This 119-nucleotide ribosomal RNA is filed under the name Varanus komodoensis (Komodo dragon). Lineage: Eukaryota; Metazoa; Chordata; Lepidosauria; Squamata; Varanidae. The record is from RNAcentral.
GUGGCUAACCAUGCUACCCUGAAAGCACCCACUCUCGUCUGAUCUUGGAAGAUAAACAGGGUCAGGUCUGGUUAGUACUUGGAUGGGAGACCGCCUGAGAAUACCAGGUGCUUGUUAUU